This 408-nucleotide ribosomal RNA is filed under the name bacterium enrichment culture clone ALO1_GLFRUDD03GM996. RNAcentral's name for it is "bacterial SSU rRNA". It matches the Rfam family "Bacterial small subunit ribosomal RNA", at positions 9 to 417 of the family's 1533-position model. The record is from RNAcentral.
GAGUUUGAUCCUGGCUCAGAUUGAACGCUGGCGGCAUGCCUUACACAUGCAAGUCGAACGGCAGCACGGGAGCUUGCUCCUGGUAGCGAGUGGCGAACGGGUGAGUAAUGCAUCGGAACGUAUCCUGGAGUGGGGGAUAACGUAGCGAAAGUUACGCUAAUACCGCAUAUUCUGUGAGCAGGAAAGCGGGGGACCUUCGGGCCUCGCGCUCUUGGAGCGGCCGAUGUCGGAUUAGCUAGUUGGUGAGGUAAAGGCUCACCAAGGCGACGAUCCGUAGCAGGUCUGAGAGGAUGAUCUGCCACACUGGAACUGAGACACGGUCCAGACUCCUACGGGAGGCAGCAGUGGGGAAUUUUGGACAAUGGGGGCAACCCUGAUCCAGCCAUGCCGCGUGAGUGAAGAAGGCCU